UUAAUUGAAGCUAAAAAGAAGCAUUUCACUGUUAAUGAAAAAAAUGGUAUACCCCAAUUAAA
This 62-nucleotide transfer RNA is filed under the name Geisha distinctissima. Its description in RNAcentral is "tRNA-Asn". The record is from RNAcentral. Lineage: Eukaryota; Metazoa; Arthropoda; Insecta; Hemiptera; Flatidae.